GGUAAAAGUGGUUUUCAUCCUCACACCAAUUUUAUGGACUGGACGUUAACUGUCUUGCUCAAGGUCACUCUGUGAGUGGAAGAGUGGGGACAAAUCUGGUUCGUUUGGCAUCAGAGGUCAUGACUUCUCCUACCACAGAAGUAAUUUUCAAAAUAAGUCUCUGCCCUAGACACAUCAGAUCAUCUGGGGACCACUCCAGAGUGAGUAGACGAGACUUUGACAGGGGUGCCUAAUUUUUUUUUUUUUUGAGAUGGAGUCUCGCUCUGUUG
RNAcentral lists this small RNA (269 nucleotides) under Pongo abelii (Sumatran orangutan). RNAcentral's name for it is "processed transcript". Lineage: Eukaryota; Metazoa; Chordata; Mammalia; Primates; Hominidae. The record is from RNAcentral.